Molecule: ribosomal RNA, 915 nt
Filed under: uncultured archaeon
Lineage: Archaea
Description: bacterial SSU rRNA
Rfam family: Archaeal small subunit ribosomal RNA
Source: RNAcentral
GGUUGAUCCUGCCAGAGGUCACUGCUAUUGGAGUUCGAUUAAGCCAUGCGAGUCAAUAGUUCUUCGUGAACUAGGCGGACUGCUCAGUAACACGUGGGUAAUCUACCCUCGGGUCAGGCAUAAUCCCGGGAAACUGGGAAUAAUACCUGAUAGGUGAAGAUGUCUGGAACGAUGCUUCGCCCAAAGCCCCGGCGCCCGAGGAUGAGCCUGCGGCCGAUUAGGUAGUUGGCGGUGUAACGGACCACCAAGCCCGUGAUCGGUACGGGUGUUGAGAGACAUAGCCCGGAGAUGGGGGCUGAGACACGGCCCCAGGCCCUACGGGGCGCAGCAGGCGCGAAAACUACGCAAUGCGCGAAAGCGUGACGUGGGAACUCCAAGUGCCUUGCCUUAGGGUAAGGCUUUUGUUUAGUGUAACUAGCUAAACGAAUAAGUGCUGGGUAAGACCGGUGCCAGCCGCCGCGGUAACACCGGCAGCGCAAGUGGUGACCGCUUUUAUUGGGCCUAAAGCGUUCGUAGCCGGUUUGGUAAGUCUUUGGGUAAAUCCUUCGGCUUAACCGAAGGACUUCCGAAGAUACUGCCAGACUUGGAGUUGAGAGAAGUCAGAGGUACCUCUGGGGUAGGGGUGAAAUCCUAUAAUCCUGGGGGGACCACCAGUGGCGAAGGCGUCUGACUAGAGCAAGCUCGACGGUGAGGGACGAAAGCCAGGGGCGCGAACGGGAUUAGAUACCCCGGUAGUCCUGGCCGUAAACGCUGCGCGCUAGGUGUUGCAUGCUCUACGAGGGCGUGCAGUGCCGAAGAGAAGUUGAUAAGCGUGCCGCCUGGGAAGUAUUACCGCAAGGUAGAAACUUAAGGGAAUUGGCGGGGGAGCACCACAAGGGGUGGAGUCUGCGGUUCAAUUGGAUUCAACGCCGGGAA